GACGAACGCUGGCGGCGUGCUUAACACAUGCAAGUCGAACGGAAAGGCCCUGCUUUUGUGGGGUGCUCGAGUGGCGAACGGGUGAGUAACACGUGAGUAACCUGCCCUUGACUUUGGGAUAACUUCAGGAAACUGGGGCUAAUACCGGAUAGGAGCUCCCGCUGCAUGGUGGGGGUUGGAAAGUUUCGGCGGUUGGGGAUGGACUCGCGGCUUAUCAGCUUGUUGGUGGGGUAGUGGCUUACCAAGGCUUUGACGGGUAGCCGGCCUGAGAGGGUGACCGGCCACAUUGGGACUGAGAUACGGCCCAGACUCCUACGGGAGGCAGCAGUGGGGAAUAUUGCACAAUGGGCGGAAGCCUGAUGCAGCAACGCCGCGUGCGGGAUGACGGCCUUUGGGUUGUAAACCGCUUUCGCCUGUGACGAAGCGUGAGUGACGGUAAUGGGUAAAGAAGCACCGGCUAACUACGUG
This 468-nucleotide ribosomal RNA is filed under the name uncultured bacterium. RNAcentral describes it as "partial 16S ribosomal RNA". It matches the Rfam family "Bacterial small subunit ribosomal RNA", at positions 28 to 507 of the family's 1533-position model. The record is from RNAcentral.